GAGGGUAUAGCUCAAGUGGUAGAGUACAUGCUUAGCAUGCACAAGGUCCUGGGUUCAAUCCCCAGUACCUCCU
Molecule: transfer RNA, 73 nt
Filed under: Camelus bactrianus (Bactrian camel)
Lineage: Eukaryota; Metazoa; Chordata; Mammalia; Artiodactyla; Camelidae
Also listed under: 2 other names
Rfam family: tRNA
About the family: Transfer RNA (tRNA) molecules are approximately 80 nucleotides in length. Their secondary structure includes four short double-helical elements and three loops (D, anti-codon, and T loops).
Source: Rfam by way of RNAcentral